Molecule: ribosomal RNA, 253 nt
Filed under: uncultured bacterium
Lineage: Bacteria
Description: partial 16S ribosomal RNA
Rfam family: Bacterial small subunit ribosomal RNA
Source: RNAcentral
UACAGAGGGUGCAAGCGUUAAUCGGAAUUACUGGGCGUAAAGCGUGCGUAGGUUGAUAGAUAUGUUGGCUGUGAAAUCCCCGAGCUUAACUUGGGAAGGCCAGCCAAAACUGUCUGUCUAGAGUAUAGUAGAGGUAAGUGGAAUUUCCGGUGUAGCGGUGAAAUGCGUAGAUAUCGGAAGGAACAUCAGUGGCGAAGGCGACUUACUGGACUAAUACUGACACUGAGGCACGAAAGCGUGGGGAGCAAACAGG